This 450-nucleotide ribosomal RNA is filed under the name uncultured Entrophospora. RNAcentral describes it as "SSU rRNA". It matches the Rfam family "Eukaryotic small subunit ribosomal RNA", at positions 569 to 1016 of the family's 1831-position model. The record is from RNAcentral. Lineage: Eukaryota; Fungi; Glomeromycota; Glomeromycetes; Entrophosporales; Entrophosporaceae.
AGCAGCCGCGGUAAUUCCAGCUCCAAUAGCGUAUAUUAAAGUUGUUGCAGUUAAAAAGCUCGUAGUUGAAUUUCGGGAUUGACGUGAUGGUCAUGCCUUAAGGGGUAUGAACUGUCACUGUUGAUUUCUCACCUUCUGGAGAAACUUGAUGUCCUUUAUUGGGUGUCUUGCGGAUCCAGGACCUUUACCUUGAAAAAAUUAGAGUGUUUAAAGCAGGCAUUUUUGCUCGAAUACAUUAGCAUGGAAUAAUAGAAUAGGACGGCAUGGUUCUAUUUUGUUGGUUUCUAGGAUCACCGUAAUGAUUAAUAGGGAUAGUUGGGGGCAUUAGUAUUCAAUUGUCAGAGGUGAAAUUCUUGGAUUUAUUGAAGACUAACUACUGCGAAAGCAUUUGCCAAGGAUGUUUUCAUUAAUCAAGAACGAAAGUUAGGGGAUCGAAGACGAUCAGAUACC